UACGUAGGGGGCAAGCGUUGUCCGGAAUUAUUGGGCGUAAAGAGCGCGUAGGCGGUCCGAUAAGUCGGCUGUGAAAGUCAGGGGCUCAACCCUUGAAAGCCGGCCGAUACUGUCGGACUAGAGUCCGGAAGAGGCAAGUGGAAUUCCUGGUGUAGCGGUGAAAUGCGCAGAUAUCAGGAGGAACACCGGUGGCGAAGGCGGGUCUCUGGGCCGAUAUUGACGCUGAGGAGCGAAAGCGUGGGGAGCAAACAGG
RNAcentral lists this ribosomal RNA (253 nucleotides) under uncultured bacterium. RNAcentral's name for it is "partial 16S ribosomal RNA". It matches the Rfam family "Bacterial small subunit ribosomal RNA", at positions 524 to 776 of the family's 1533-position model. The record is from RNAcentral.